Molecule: long non-coding RNA, 1064 nt
Organism: Oryza brachyantha (malo sina)
Lineage: Eukaryota; Viridiplantae; Streptophyta; Magnoliopsida; Poales; Poaceae
Exons: 3
Source: RefSeq, a predicted model, not a curated record
UUGAAAUUGAUGAAAUAAUUAACCUUUAACAGCGCAUUAUUUCCAUCAUUGGCGCGGGAACAUCAGGAGAGCGCGAAAUCGAGGACUGGAUCCUCGGCUUCACCGUGCCUAUAGAUCCCCGGUGGCUCGCCCAUCUUCCAGAAUCUGGCGUCAGCGGUAGGCGGCCUACUUCCAGCACACUGCGUCGGCGGCCUUCAAUCCAGUCCCCGGCGGCGGCGCCCCCUUCCUCCAGCUCCAGCGGCGGCCGCCGGUUAGCUCGUCCUCGCCGGCGUUGCCCUCCUUCCCAUGCCCGGCGGCAGCGCCUUUUUCCAGAUCGCCAUCAUCGACCUUUGUCCAGCUCUAGGGGCGGCCACCGUUUAGCCCCAUCCACGCCGCCAUCGCCCUCCAUCCAAUCCCCACCGGUGGCGCCCUCACCGUCGUUUCUUCAAUUCCCUGCUUCAGCGCUUCUGUAGAGUCCAGAUCUACUGCAGUUUUAGCGUCCUGCCUCCCAGCCAUCACAGCAUCACCCAAAGUUCGAGACAGCGACGGUGUUGCCGUAAGCAGCGCCGCACAGCAGCAGGUGGUGCUGGUGCAGAGGAGUAUGGAUGUCUUUAGGAAGAGCAAAGAACCGCAAGCUUACUUUGGGAUCAUGCAGAUUACAGGCAUCAAGUUUUGUAUAUUUUAAAUGAGUUCAUUGAUGUGAGAAUCCAAAUUGAUAUCUUGCACACAGUGUGUGUGAUUGAGAUAUAUAUCUUGUUGUGUGAAAAUAAUUCUGAUCCAAAUUGAUAUCUUGCACACAGUAUUGGACGUUUUCCAUAUGCAAUGAUCACAUGCACAUUGGAUCCUUGCUUGCAUGCAGAGAAUUAAUUAGUUUGUAAUUACGAAUAGUCAGUUGAAGAGAUCAUCCUUUGUAUAAGAUGUUGUUUCUACUGAUGUGGCUUAAGAUAGAGCUCAUUAUGAGCUUUACUAUUGAACAUGCCCUUACAAGUACACAGCUGCACACACUUGUUUAUCAUGUCACGGGAUUAUUUUUUUUUUCACAAUUUCUAUACUUCACACAUGUCAUCAUAGUGUAGUGCACGACU